This 457-nucleotide ribosomal RNA is filed under the name uncultured bacterium. Its description in RNAcentral is "bacterial SSU rRNA". It matches the Rfam family "Bacterial small subunit ribosomal RNA", at positions 925 to 1382 of the family's 1533-position model. The record is from RNAcentral.
ACAAGCGGUGGAGCAUGCGGUUUAAUUCGACGCAACGCGAAGAACCUUUACCAGGGCUUGACAUCCCUUGAAGCAGCUAGAGAUAGCUGUGUCCUUCGGGACAAGGAGACAGGUGGUGCAUGGUUGUCGUCAGCUCGUGUCGUGAGAUGUUGGGUUAAGUCCCGCAACGAGCGCAACCCCUGUGGUUAGUUGCCAGCAAGUAGCGUUGGGCACUCUAGCCAGACUGCCGGUGAUAAAUCGGAGGAAGGUGGGGACGACGUCAAAUCAUCAUGCCCUUUAUGUCCUGGGCUACACACGUACUACAAUGGCCGUUACAACGGGAAGCGAAGGAGCAAUCCGGAGCAAAUCCCUUAAAGGCGGUCCCAGUUCAGAUUGUGGGCUGAAACUCGCCCACAUGAAGGCGGAAUUGCUAGUAAUUGCAGAUCAGCAUGCUGCAGUGAAUACGUUCCCGGGCCUU